AUACUGAAUCCCAGGCAGGAGCCCUCAGAGAUACCUGGAAAUCAGUGGGAUGGAGUUUGGAGUUUUUCAGGAUCCAGCUGCAAGUGCACAAGUGGUGGAAAGCUUUCACAGAUGCUGGACUUACCUCUGAGGAUGUGUGCUGAGCUCUCAGUGGAGGGACUGUCAGGCUGAAUGGCUGAGUCUGUGUUCUUUCACUGGGCAUCAGCAAUGCCCCAGUCCCGUUCCCAGGCUGUGCUCAGGCUGUGGCAGCACAGGCAGAUGCAGCUCUCAGCACUCCCUGCUCCAAACACAACUCUGGCCUCCAUUGCAAUCUGUCUCUGCUGGGAGGUUUUCUCCUAGAGAAAUCAAAGAAUUGCUCAUGGCACUUUGGAGACUCAAUCUGCACAAAGGGAAGUAAGGAAUAAAAUCCUGCUCCAGGAGCCCUUGGGCUCUGCAGGGCUGCUUAGGGAAGGGACAUUCACUCCCUGCAGUGCCCCCAGCCCACCUGCAGCACCAGCACAGGCUGCCAGCUGGGCUCUGCCAGCCCCUCUCUGUCACCCUCCCUGUGCUGCUCCCUCUCAGUGCCCUGGGCAAUCCAGCCCUGAGCCCGAGCAGCCCAAAGCUCUGGCUGGCAGCCCAGGGACAAAGGGACCCUGCCAGGGAUGAGGCACAUUCCCAGCAAACGCUCCCCACAGAGCACAGAGGCCCCCCUGGAGCUCCUGGGUGGGGCUGGCAGGAGGGCACAGCCCCAGUGGGGUGGCAGUGGCAGUGACAGCAGCAAAGUGCCACGGUCUGGUGGCACAGCAGAGACACCAAGGCCAGCAGUGCCCAGGGAGGGGCACAAUGAAUUCUGCUCCCUGUGCUGCCCCAUCCCAGCAGGAAAGCUCCAGGGGGGAUGGAAACUCCUCCCCUUCCCCCAGCCCCAGGUAAGCCCUGCUCGGUUUCACACACCCAGCUCUCACCUCCAGCUGCUCUGGGCCUGCUGCCACAUUCCUGCCAAGGUGCCAAAGCCACUUGGGACAGGGCUCCCUCUGUGUCCCAGGGGAUGGCAGGGACCAGGGUGCUCCAGCAAGGACAGCCUGAAACCAGAGCAGAUGUGUCAGGGUUAGCAAUGGGCUGGGGACAGGAGCUCUAAACCCAGAUUGCUGAAAACAGCCCCCAAAAUGUUCCAUGAGCUCCUUUAAAACGGCUCCAAAGGGCAGCAGCUCCACUGCCAGACCAGCACCUGCACCAUUCCCUGUGCCAGCCCUGGCUCACUGAAAAACAAAACAAAUCAACCAUCACACAGGCCCUGUUUGCAGAAUUCCUGCUCCAAACCCUCACCUUUCCUGCCCAGCACUGAGGGAAAUCUGACACAGCAUUAUAAAUAACCUUUGCUGAGAGCAGCCAUCACCCCAGUCCCCCAGCCUUGGCAAGAUUUGCAGUGAAUGGACCCAAGUUCUAACCCUGAACCUAAAUUCCUGUCAGUUUUUGGUAGAAAGAUACUGGACAGUAAAUCAUGCAACAGAAUUGAAAAACUGCUCAAGGAAUAACAAGGCCCAGAGCAAACCCAACCACCCCCAUCACUGCUGCACCCCAGUUCUGGGAGAAAUGCUGAUAUCAUUUCUAAAUACUCCCCUUCCCUCCCACUCAGUCUCCAGCCCAAAGCCCACUUCUCACAGACACAAACUAACAAGCCUGAGGCAUUGUUCCCAGCAGCAGAUGCAAUUCCUGAACUCUCUUUUCCCUGGAUUGCUCUUCUAAGCACUUGCAGGAAACUCACCUGAGCCCAGAGACUGUUGUGCUUUCCCAGAGGGAAACAGAGCCUGAUGGGCCCAGCUCUGGCACCACAUUGCCCUUGUCCCUGCUGACCUGGGAGGCCACAGGAUUUUCCCUUCUGAGAAGCUGAGGCCCCAGAAAAAGAAUGCAAACAAUGGUUAUCUGCUGCUGUGGAAGGCAACAGGUGCACUAGUGAUUGGCUGAAGGAUGUGUAUAAUUAAUGGCUAAUCAAGGACUGAGCUCUCUCUGGGACAGAGUCAGAGAGAGCUCCUCUGUAAUUCAUUCUUUUCUAUUCUUAGCUUAGCUGGCCUUCUGACAACUUUCCUCUCUGUUUCUUUUUAGUAUAGUUAUAAUGUAGUAUAUAUAUCAUAAAAUAAUAAAUCAAGCCUUCUGAACAUGGA
Melospiza melodia melodia is the source of this 2138-nucleotide long non-coding RNA. RefSeq lists it as uncharacterized. The record is from RefSeq and is a predicted model, not a curated record. The transcript is spliced from 3 exons. Lineage: Eukaryota; Metazoa; Chordata; Aves; Passeriformes; Passerellidae.